AUUGAACGCUGGCGGCAGGCCUAACACAUGCAAGUCGAACGGUAACAGGAAGAAGCUUGCUUCUUUGCUGACGAGUGGCGGACGGGUGAGUAAUGUCUGGGAAACUGCCUGAUGGAGGGGGAUAACUACUGGAAACGGUAGCUAAUACCGCAUAACGUCGCAAGACCAAAGAGGGGGACCUUCGGGCCUCUUGCCAUCGGAUGUGCCCAGAUGGGAUUAGCUAGUAGGUGGGGUAACGGCUCACCUAGGCGACGAUCCCUAGCUGGUCUGAGAGGAUGACCAGCCACACUGGAACUGAGACACGGUCCAGACUCCUACGGGAGGCAGCAGUGGGGAAUAUUGCACAAUGGGCGCAAGCCUGAUGCAGCCAUGCCGCGUGUAUGAAGAAGGCCUUCGGGUUGUAAAGUACUUUCAGCGGGGAGGAAGGGAGUAAAGUUAAUACCUUUGCUCAUUGACGUUACCCGCAGAAGAAGCACGGGCUAACUCCGUG
This 490-nucleotide ribosomal RNA is filed under the name uncultured bacterium. RNAcentral describes it as "partial 16S ribosomal RNA". It matches the Rfam family "Bacterial small subunit ribosomal RNA", at positions 30 to 507 of the family's 1533-position model. The record is from RNAcentral.